GGAGGAUUCGCCUAGUGGCCUAGGGCGCACGCUUGGAAAGCGUGUUGCGUGCAAGCGCUCGCGAGUUCGAAUCUCGCAUCCUCCGCCA
This 88-nucleotide transfer RNA is filed under the name Actinomadura cremea. Its description in RNAcentral is "tRNA-Ser". It matches the Rfam family "tRNA". Rfam says of the family: Transfer RNA (tRNA) molecules are approximately 80 nucleotides in length. Their secondary structure includes four short double-helical elements and three loops (D, anti-codon, and T loops). Further hydrogen bonds mediate the characteristic L-shaped molecular structure. tRNAs have two regions of fundamental functional importance: the anti-codon, which is responsible for specific mRNA codon recognition, and the 3' end, to which the tRNAs corresponding amino acid is attached (by aminoacyl-tRNA synthetases). tRNAs cope with the degeneracy of the genetic code in two manners: having more than one tRNA (with a specific anti-codon) for a particular amino acid; and 'wobble' base-pairing, i.e. permitting non-standard base-pairing at the 3rd anti-codon position. RNAcentral also lists the same sequence under 36 other names. Lineage: Bacteria; Bacillati; Actinomycetota; Actinomycetes; Streptosporangiales; Thermomonosporaceae. The record is from RNAcentral.